Long non-coding RNA from Homo sapiens (human), 186 nucleotides. RefSeq lists it as uncharacterized. The record is from RefSeq and is a predicted model, not a curated record. The transcript is spliced from 3 exons. NCBI's taxonomy places the organism in Eukaryota, Metazoa, Chordata, Mammalia, Primates, Hominidae.
UGCAAUCAUUUUGACAAGGAGGCCGUGGCAGGGACUCCAGGAGGAAGACUGGAAAGUGACUGGGAUUACACCUCCUUCCCAGGCUGCGGAGGCUGGUGGUGCCAGUGCACGCAGGUAGAAGCCAACAUCUUCUCCAUGGGAGCAGAUUAAUGGUAAAGGACUGUACUCUUCAACUCAUGCAGAGAA